This 582-nucleotide long non-coding RNA is filed under the name Musa acuminata (dwarf banana). Its description in RNAcentral is "long non-coding RNA (MACU_LNC011260)". Lineage: Eukaryota; Viridiplantae; Streptophyta; Magnoliopsida; Zingiberales; Musaceae. The record is from RNAcentral.
GUAAAAGUGCAGAAGAGCAGUAGCUAUGUAGGAGGUUUGCAGUAAUGAUAAAGUGCUCAAAGUAAAAGCAAACCAGAGAUUUAGAGUGGUUCGGUCAGUCUUGACCUACUCCACUUUUGGCUUCCUCCACCGACGAGGUCACCGACGUCAACUAGGGGCCUUCCUUCAAUAGGCGAAGGCCAACUGCCCUUUUACAGUUUCACUCCUUUUGACGGGAUCAGGAGACAACCCUUAUAGAACCUUUCUCUCCUCUCUUUACAACUCAAGACUUGAAGAACAGAAAGAGGAGAACUUUUGGACUUUACACAAAUUUGAGCUCUUAGAAUCACAGAAAAGAUCAAGAAUUCGGUGUAGGUCUGUAUCUUUUCAGUGUUGAAUGGGUGGGGUAUUUAUAGGCCCCAACCCAGUUCAAAUUUGGAGCUCAAAACGAUCAAAUCCCGGAAUUCCGGGAUCAGGCGGUUGCACCUCCUGACUGGAGAGGUUGCACCGCCUGGCAGAGCUCGAAGACUGAGCCUCUGGGCGGUGCCACCUCUGUCAGGGGCGGUUGCACCUCUCUGCCAGAGCUCAAAGACUAAGCUCAGG